Anguilla anguilla (European eel) is the source of this 657-nucleotide long non-coding RNA. RefSeq lists it as uncharacterized. Lineage: Eukaryota; Metazoa; Chordata; Actinopteri; Anguilliformes; Anguillidae. The transcript is spliced from 4 exons. The record is from RefSeq and is a predicted model, not a curated record.
CACAACAUCACAUCAGUAUCCCAUACACACCUGCACAACGUCAGACCAAUGUCUCCUGAACAUCAGUGCAAUAUCAGAUCAAUGUCCGCCCAACAUCAGCAAAGCAUCGGAUGAACCUUACAUCAACAUCAGCACAACAUCAAAUCAAAGUUCUGUUAAUUCCUCAUUUCAGUGACUAGAAUGAACACAAAAGCAGUUAGAGGUUUCUACUGUUGUUCUGUACCUCCUCUAGGCCUGUGAUGGAGUAGGCAUGUCCUUUCACCAAACCUGUGGUCGUGCGUGCCUCAGAUUCUGCAGAGCUGGUGAUCUGGAGAGAAACAGAUGCUGGGCCUUCUCCAGAAGGGCGCUCCAGAACUCGUCGUUAUCAGCCGAGUGGACAAACACCAGCCGGUUUCGUACCGCGGGCAGCCUGUCAUCCACAACCACGUCCAGCCACUGGUUGUGCUGCCAGAACUACAAAAGUCUGGCCUCUGCACCAAUGGGAAGGAUGAGGAUAAGUAAUGUGUCCUUUUUGGGAGAAAUGGGAAUGGCAAACAAGUAAAAACCAGCUAUAUAGCAUCCCUUCCAAGCAUAGGACUGGCAUUCCUGUCGCAGCUCCUCAAAUGUUUUGCCAUUUGACUGACAGCUGAUCACCUUCUUAGGUUGGCCUCCACCGGA